ACACCGGCAGCUCUAGUGGUAGCAAUUUUUAUUGGGCCUAAAGCGUCCGUAGCCGGUUUAAUAAGUCUCUGGUGAAAUCCUGUAGCUUGACUGUGGGAAUUGCUGGAGAUACUAUUAGACUUGAGACCGGGAGAGGUUGGAGGUACUCCCAGGGUAGCGGUGAAAUUCUGUAAUCCUGGGAGGACCGCCUGUUGCGAAUGCGUCUAACUGGAACGGUUCUGACGGUGAGGGACGAAAGUUAGGGGCGCGAACCGGAUUAGAUACCCGGGUAGUCCUAACUGUAAACGAUGCGGACUUGGUGUUGGGGUGGCUUUGAGCUGUCCCAGUGCCGAAGGGAAGCUGUUAAGUCCGCCGCCUGGGAAGUACGGUCGCAGGACUGAAACUUAAAGGAAUUGACGGGG
Molecule: ribosomal RNA, 401 nt
Filed under: uncultured bacterium
Lineage: Bacteria
Description: partial 16S ribosomal RNA
Rfam family: Archaeal small subunit ribosomal RNA
Source: RNAcentral